CCUACGGGAGGCAGCAGUGGGGAAUUUUGGACAAUGGGGGCAACCCUGAUCCAGCCAUGCCGCGUGAGUGAAGAAGGCCUUCGGGUUGUAAAGCUCUUUCGGCCGGAACGAAAUCGCGCACGUGAAUAACGUGCGUGGAUGACGGUACCGGAGUAAGAAGCACCGGCUAACUACGUGCCAGCAGCCGCGGUAAUACGUAGGGUGCGAGCGUUAAUCGGAAUUACUGGGCGUAAAGCGUGCGCAGGCGGUUCGCUAAGUCAGACGUGAAAGCCCCGGGCUUAACCUGGGAACGGCGUUUGAAACUGGCGGGCUCGAGUACGGCAGAGGGGGGUGGAAUUCCACGUGUAGCAGUGAAAUGCGUAGAUAUGUGGAGGAACACCGAUGGCGAAGGCAGCCCCCUGGGCCGAUACUGACGCUCAUGCACGAAAGCGUGGGGAGCAAACAGGAUUAGAUACCCUGGUAGUCCACGCCCUAAACUAUGUCAACUAGUUGUCGGGGAAGCAAUUCCUUGGUAACGCAGCUAACGCGUGAAGUUGACCGCCUGGGGAUACGGUCGCAAGAUUAAAACUCAAAAUGAAUUGACGGCUGGAGAGUGCGACGGACGACGACGAGGGAGGAGG
RNAcentral lists this ribosomal RNA (620 nucleotides) under uncultured bacterium. Its description in RNAcentral is "bacterial SSU rRNA". It matches the Rfam family "Bacterial small subunit ribosomal RNA", at positions 338 to 954 of the family's 1533-position model. The record is from RNAcentral.